Molecule: long non-coding RNA, 3037 nt
Organism: Phyllostomus discolor (pale spear-nosed bat)
Lineage: Eukaryota; Metazoa; Chordata; Mammalia; Chiroptera; Phyllostomidae
Exons: 2
Source: RefSeq, a predicted model, not a curated record
AGUGCUGCCAUUGAAACUAGGAUACACCAGAUGUGAACAGAUAUAGGCAAGAGGUUCCUGGAAACCAGGUGUGGCCAAGAAAAAUGGUAUUUUUGACUGCUUUUACAGGGUGAAGAAGCUGAAGCAUAGUCUAAGGAAGAGGAAAGCCAGAGUUACAACUGAGGGGCAAGGCUAAAGGAGACUUAGUAGACAGGUCAGGUGCUAGGAAAAUUGAGGUGUGUGGGUUGAAUAAAUGAGGCAAUCACUGUGAACAGAAUGCACUGGAACCCUUUUACCUGGCACGUGGUGAUGGAGAUGUGCCUACUCAGUGGAGCCAUGUUCAAAGCAAGGGUCACUCUCUGUGCUGUAAUCAGAUCCCUAUCCCUUGGUGGUUAUUCUGGAUUCUUCCUUCUCCCUCACUUCCACAAUUUGUCAGUCCUCAUAUGCUGUUGAUUCUUUCUUCACAAGAUCACUUGAAUCUGUCUCUUUAUUUACAUUCCAUCUGCCACCAUCCCAAUUCAAGUCUUUGUUAUGGUGUAUUGAUAUUAUCUGUUAAUUUACUCCAUUUCUAACAGGUCACUUGUAUCAAAUAUUCCUCCUCCACUCUAAUAUUCCUACCUACACAGUUAAUCUUCCAACAAAAAUUCUGAUCUGUUGACUACCCUUCCUAAAAUACUUUACAGAUCAGAAAAUUUUCAUUAUUCUUCAUUAGCUACCUAACAGAUAAUAAAGUCUUAAUUGCUAAGUUUGGCAUUCAAAGACUUCUCUAGUGUGGCCCCGAUUUAUCUCUUCUAUUUGUGCAUGAAACCAAUUGCUUAUUUUUUCCUAAAUAAUCCUUGCAUCUUUUUAUCUCAUUUAUGCUUUUGUAUAUUGUUCCCUAGUUUUUAUCUCUCUCCUAUCAAAAUCUAACAAUCCUCAAAUGCCCUCUACUUUCUAAGACAGUUUUUUUUUUUUAUUUUCAAACUAGAACAUCUACUGAACACCAUAGCCUUUAGUUUAUGUUGCUAAAUUAACCACAAACUCCAUAUGGUUGUUUUUGUGUCUAUUUUAUCGCUACAAUAGGUUAUAGGUAUUUGAUAGUAAAGACUCUGCUUUGUGAAUCUUUAUAUCUAUAACUUGUGGUAAAAUGUUAUAUACCUAAAGUGCUCAAAGUAUUUAUUAUAUUUAAUUAAUAUUUAUAUAUCAUAGGACUCUCUCAGGUCCAAAUGACCCAGUGUUCCUAAUACUCUAGUCUUCUGUUACAAUAAAUUCAAUCCAAGCUUGAGGUUUUUUUUAUUUUGAGACUCCUCUAUCCUUUACAUAACUUUAUAAUUACUUAAUAGUUUUGUUUAAUGUGGAAUAUCUCUUUUUUGUUCUGAUAACAUGACAAUGAUUAAAUAUGUUCAUGCAUAUGCUUUACUGGUAUUAAUGUAAUUCUGUGUUGAUGCAAUUAGCUAAGAGAUUAUGGGGGGAAUAUACUAUGUUUUAGGAAUUGAAAAUACCCAAUAAUUGUUAGCACAGGUAGCUACUUAGUUAUAAAUAAAGGAAAUGAGCAAAGAGAAUCAGGCAUUAAGCCUCAUUCACUAGAGAGCCACAGCAGUCAUAGGCUCCCAAAGGGACUAACACAUCCUCGGCCCUUGGGACCUAAUCUCUGAAGAAGGUAGGAAGUAUUGGUUACCAGUAAUUAGCUGGGAUUGCCAAAGGAAGAAUUAAAACAGUAGGGGAAAUUCCUCUUCUAGGUACCUACCUGUACUGCAGAAGCCAAGGUGGUGCAGGAGGAGGUCCUUCUACUUUGAGGCGUGUGCAGUGGGAGCCAUGAUGACAACCAUGACCAGAGGGGAGGUGUCUAAUCUGGGAAAAGGCCAUAGUGGUUAGGGGGAGGGCCUAGCACAAGUCCUCAGAGGAUUGGAAAAUAGAUUGAUUAGUUUGAAAGACACCUGGUCUUUCCCAAGAUCAGGGUAAUAUAAUCAAAGCUUUACAGAGGCCUGUCUCUGUAGCAUACAUUUGUCAUGUGUGCGUUCUCUCCCUGGAGCAGCCAUGCGGGCUCAGCAGCUGUGUGGGUCCAAGCACUGGCCUGGGUACAGCCACACAGUGCCAGUUGGAGCACAGCCAGGAACAGAGACUAAGUAGCCAAAUAGGGACAGAGACUAAACUGGACUAAACUUUGGCAUGGAUUGAACCAGUGGCACAGAAUUUCUGGACCCUGGCCCUUUCUCUGGGCUUGGUGAAGACAAGGCUGGACUUCUUCCAUAAUGGGACAGAGCUGAACUACCCAGCUGUUGUUGAGAUACAGCCUCUGGGCACCUGGGGACUGUCCUUUAUGUUUGCUCCAGCUUCAUUAAAUCUUACCACUACACCUCAUCCUCCCAUGUGAGGUCCCUGAAAUGCUUUUCUGGUGACACCACAAGAGCCUAUUUCCACAGACAACAUGAGUGACUAGAAUACCUAAUACAACUAACCUGGGGUUUAACUUAAGUUCAUGCUCUUCAGUUAUCUUUAUUUUUGUUCAUUUCGUAUUGAUGGAUAAAUGUCUUCAGAACAUCUCUUGAUAACAAAUAGCAAGUAUAUGUUCUAAGUUCAUGCCCAAGAUAUUCCUUUAGGCUAUUUGAGGUAUUUUGCUCGUGUACCUUCAUCUUAAAUGUCUUGGUGCCAUGGCGUCAUUUAUCUUUGUUAAACUACACCAGUGUGUUUGUUAAUUCUUUCUUUCCCAUUAUGUUUUACAUUAAGGUCUAAUUUCUUCUCAAGUUUCCUGUUCUUCCCAAAGCAGUCAAAAUAGCUGACUUUAGAAAUCAGGAAAGGCAAGUAUUUUGCAGAAUUAUUUAGUGGCAAGGUAAUUUUUAUGUCUAAAACAUAGUUUUUAUUUUUAAAAAGAUUAUGAAAAGUAUAACAAGUCACAGCAUCUUAGUGCAACUAUUUGUUUUAUAUGUUACUUUCUUAAAAUUUAGUUUAUAUGGUAACAAUUAUUCUUAAGGCAAGUAAAUACUAAUUUAUUUUAAUGAACUCUCCAUAAUCCUCUUAUCUCUGUGUCCUGAAAAUUUGGCCUAUCAUAGAUUCUGUGCUUGCUCCCUGCACACACAAU